This 827-nucleotide unclassified non-coding RNA is filed under the name Hevea brasiliensis (rubber tree). The record is from RNAcentral. Lineage: Eukaryota; Viridiplantae; Streptophyta; Magnoliopsida; Malpighiales; Euphorbiaceae.
AAAAAAAAAAAAAAAGAAGAGAAAUGAGAAGAAAUGAAAAACAUUUAUUACAAGAGCUAGGAGCUUGAGUCUACUGGGAUGUAUGUAUGGUUUUUGUGGGGGGUAUUGUGUUUUCUAUCCCUUGAAUAUCGGUGGUGGCCUGUUUGGUGUCAUUAAUGGGGAAUUUUGGUUCUGCUUUCCUUUACUGCCCCUGAGCUGGUUUUUAAAAAUCUUUGGGGCCAGAUUACCUCCAAUCCUGGGGAAAACAUAUAAUUUCUGAGAGAUGGAACAAAGAAUAUGGUUAGAUUCGAGUCUGCAUAUUGUGAGGGAGGGGAGAGUGAGAGAGAGAGAGAGUAGCUUUUAUGAGAUGCUGUAGCUCAUGCUAUGUCGACUAUUGCUCUAUUUUUGGUCACAUGAUGAUCUGGCUGUUUAGGUUUCUCUCAUCACGCAUCAUAUCUAUAAUCUGCAUUUAUAUGUAUAUCUUCUUCAAAACCUUAUGAAGAAUUCACUGCAUAAAAAUGGUCCUCGCAGAGUGAAAACCAUUGAAAUGGUGUUUGGCAUUAUAUUUAUUAUAUAUGUUAAAUUUAAGACUUGGAGAUUGUGGAUUUUGGGUUUGUUCAAAUUAUUUGAUUACAUUUAUAUUAGUUUUUGUUACUAGUAAAUAAAGUAGUGGACACAUACCAGGGUCUAGAUGUUUUAAUUUCCUAUAUUUUGAUGUCUGCUAAAUCAAGCUGUUGGAUCUGGGCAUUGGUAGUCUUUUGUUGGUGAAAUCCGCAAUAAAGCAAAAUGUAUAUAAUUUCUUUUUUCUUAAUAUUUUAAAAAUAAUAAUUCGCUUCUUUUUCAAUUUG